UACGUAGGGUGCAAGCAUUAAUCGGAUUUAUUGAGCGUAAAGGGCGCGUAGGCGGGAAUGCCAGUCAGAUGUGAAAUCCCGGGGCUCAACCUCGGAACAGCAUUUGAAACUACAUUUCUAGAGGGUAGACGGAGAAAACGGAAUUCCACAAGUAGCGGUGAAAUGCGUAGAUAUGUGGAAGAACACCAGUGGCGAAGGCGGUUUUCUAGUUUAUACCUGACGCUGAUGCGCGAAAGCAAGGGGAGCAAACAGG
This 253-nucleotide ribosomal RNA is filed under the name uncultured bacterium. RNAcentral's name for it is "partial 16S ribosomal RNA". It matches the Rfam family "Bacterial small subunit ribosomal RNA", at positions 524 to 776 of the family's 1533-position model. The record is from RNAcentral.